This 290-nucleotide ribosomal RNA is filed under the name uncultured microorganism. RNAcentral describes it as "partial 16S ribosomal RNA". It matches the Rfam family "Bacterial small subunit ribosomal RNA", at positions 505 to 796 of the family's 1533-position model. The record is from RNAcentral.
GUGCCAGCAGCCCCGGUAAUACGGAAGGUGGCAGCGUUAAACCGAAUUACUGGGCGUAAGCGCACGCAGGCGGUUUGUUAGUCAGAUGUGAAAUCCCCGGGCUCAACCUGGGAACUGCAUUUGAAACUGGCAAGCUAGAGUCUCGUAGAGGGGGGUAGAAUUCCAGGUGUAGCGGUGAAAUGCGUAGAGAUCUGGAGGAAUACCGGUGGCGAAGGCGGCCCCCUGGACGAAGACUGACGCUCAGGUGCGAAAGCGUGGGGAGCAAACAGGAUUAGAUACCCUGGUAGUCC